AACUUUUAACAAUGGAUCUCUUGGCUCUCGCAUCGAUGAAGAACGCAGCGAAAUGCGAUACGUAAUGUGAAUUGCAGAAUUCCGUGAAUCAUCGAAUCUCUGAACGCACCUUGCGCCUCUUGGUAUUCCGAGGGGCAUGCCUGUUUGAGUGUCAUUGAAUCCCUCAAAAAGAGAAAGCUUUUAAUGGCUUUCUCUCUUUUGGACUUGGGGUGUGCUGGCCUUUUCUUGGAAAGCUCGGCUCCCCUGAAAUACAUUAGCGAUGUGACAUCCUCGUGCUCCGCGCUUCUCUGGCAUUGAUAGUCUUUUCAUGCUUAGGAGCGCGUUCUGCAGCUGUGGAAAGUUUCGCUUGCUCACAACUGAUGGGUUUUAACCCAUCCUCUGACCAAUUUAACCUCAAAUCAGGUAGGAUUACCCGCUGAACUUAAGCAUAUCAAUAAGCGGAGGCU
RNAcentral lists this unclassified non-coding RNA (446 nucleotides) under uncultured Hygrocybe. RNAcentral describes it as "sequence contains ITS2". The stretch from base 1 to 154 matches the Rfam family "5.8S ribosomal RNA". The record is from RNAcentral. Lineage: Eukaryota; Fungi; Basidiomycota; Agaricomycetes; Agaricales; Hygrophoraceae.